This 665-nucleotide ribosomal RNA is filed under the name uncultured organism. Its description in RNAcentral is "bacterial SSU rRNA". It matches the Rfam family "Bacterial small subunit ribosomal RNA", at positions 763 to 1439 of the family's 1533-position model. The record is from RNAcentral.
GGGGAGCAAACAGGAUUAAUACUGUAGUCCACCCUAAACGAUGGAUGCUGGCCUUGCAGCAUCGUUCAGUGGCGCAGCUAACGCAUUAAGCAUCCCGCCUGGGGAGUAGCCGCAAGGUUAAACUCAAAGGAAUUGACGGGGGCCCGCACAAGCGUGACAUGUGUUUAAUUCGAGGCACGCGAAGAACCUUACCAGCCCCUUGACAUCCCGUUCGCGGAUCUAGAGNNAUGGAUCCUUCGGUUCGGCCAGGACGGUGAACAGGGUGCUGCAUGGCUGUCGUCAGGCUCGUGUCGUGAGAUGUUGGGUUAAGUCCCGCAACGAGGCGCAACCCUUGUCCCUAGUUGCCAGCAUUAAGUUGGGCACUCUAGGGAGACUGCCAGUGAUAAGCUGGAGGAAGGUGGGGAUGACGUCCAAGUCAUCAUGGCCCUUACGGGCUGGGCUACACACGUGCUACAAUGGUGGUGACAGUGGGCAGCCACUCCGNCAAGGAGGAGCUAAUCUCCAAAAGCCACCUCAGUUCGGAUUGCACUCUGCAACUCGGGUGCAUGAAGUUGGAAUCGCUAGUAAUCGUGGAUCAGCAUGCCACGGUGAUACGUUCCCGGGCAUUGUACACACCGCCCGUCACACCAUGGGAGUUGGUUUUACCACGAAGACGGUGCGCCAAC